AGAGAUGUGUGGAAACCUAGAAUCAAAUUGAUUGGAAAUUUUGGUUUCCGAUCCUGUUUUUCGUUAAAAUAACAACCCAGUACAACGCCCCAUUGAUGGGUGUAAACUUACUGUUUGAGGGCUGCCAUUUCUUUAAAAUCAUCUAUCUAUCUAUUUCUAUUCUACUUUUACCAACCCGAAUAAAUUCAUAUCAAUAGUACUAGACUACUAGCCUAUGAAGCAUCUACACAUGUAUGCUAAAGAAGAGCCUUUGAUUCAUGAAAUGCCCACAUUUCGAAUGUAACUUUUCAACCAAAAAUAAAAUCCUACAUGCACGAAUUGUCAAAAUCAAUCUAAAAAAACUCAUAAUGACUCAACAACAUUGCAAUAAUUCGUCCACGUAGUCUGAUCAUCACAUUAAUACAACUGCGCUAAUACAGCAAAUCAACUUACUUGCUGUUGCGGGUUUCCAUAGGCAGGAUAACCCUCAUAACGUGCAGCAGCAUAUGCAUUAGGAUCCUGAGAUGGCGGUGCAGGAUAACCAUAUCCUCCCUCACAAGAUUGUCCUCCGUAGUACGCCUCAUUCCAUUGGUUUACCAGAAUCUGCUCUUGACUAUAAGAACAACAAGAGAUCAGUGAUAAUUACAUAUUGAAAAUCAAGAUAAAAGGCAGUAUUUUCAAGUUUAGGAAUAAUAUUGCAGAACAGCUGGCAACAUAUAUUAACCAUCUGAGUAAUCCAUUCAAAGACAAAUAGCUUUUCAGUAGGACUGCUAGGUUUUAAAUUGCUUGUCAAGCAUGACUACCUGCUUUUUUACAGGAUUGCGGCCCCAAGAGAGUUGAACUGUUUGCUCGCCAAUAACUGUACCAUUCAAAUUUUGGAUAGCCUCCUCAGCAGUGUUUCUGCAAAUACGUACAAAAAGUGAUUCAAUAAGAUAUCUGUUAUGAGUGAAGGUGGGAUAACUGGAUAAGUGCAGAAGAGUCAAGUGCUGAUAUGUGCUAAACUACAUGCAUAUGAAGAAAAUUACAAUUGCCAGGUAUACCUAUUUGCAAACUGUACGAGCCCACAUCCUUUCCCAACUAGUAUUUUUACUGAUACAAUCUCAGCCAUAUUGAGAAAAUGAUUGCCUGAGAUCUUCGUCAGUGACACUGGGAUCGAGACCUCCCAAAAGAAUCAGCAAUAAAACAUUGUUUCAUCUCAGCAAAUAUAGUAGACAACAACAUAUACCAUAGGAAUUGAGAAAGGAGUAUAUUAACUAUUGUUUUGUUGAAUCCUAUCAGACUGAGCAGAAGCACCAUUUGAAGAAAUCAAAAUAAGACGGUGUUUGUGCAUAACUAGCCACAUGAAAAUGAUUGGUCUCUGUAGCUUGUUUUUGUGACUACCACAUACUUCAACUGGCCAUACAUUAAAUCUUCUAGCAUUGUGUAUCACAUAACAUAUGAAGACAUACAAAUUUUAACUGGCACUACUCUCUGCCAGGGCUUCUCACCAUUUCCAUGAUGGUGUUGUAUGGAAAGGUAAGACCUUCAAAAGAAAAUUAAUUUAUAGUAAACAUAAUUGAAAAUGCGGCCAUAGUCAUUGCAUCCUUUUAUCAGUCAAGAUGAGUCCAACUACCAAGAAUAUAUAGACUUGAUAGGAGUCAUAGGACACGGUGGCCUACAGAUAAUAAACACAAACCAAGGAGAACAACAGAACAGAAGGAAAGAAGAACAUGGCAACAGAGUAACAGACUAAAAGCAAAGAGAUGACUGGAGUACUUAUAUUUUACAUGAGCAUCGAAGAAAGAAUCUCUAGCAAGACAUACUGAAAGAAAAAAAAAAACUCAAGUUGCUUCACUCAAUUGUUUACAUACAUGUUGAACCCCAUUGUCUGCCAUCUCACCAUUCAGUACUUUGAGAAAUACAUAACUAAAUGUAUGGUAUGAGUACUUUAAAUAAACAAUAAGUGCAAAGCUAGGAGAAUACAUUUCCAUACCUAGCUUGUGAGGAAUACUGUUGUUGAUAUCCACAAGCCUUCCUGGGGGUCGCCACACCUAUACGCAUGGCCCUCCAAGAACAGAAUACACCAUUCAUUUCAUUUAUGGCUCGUGACCGUUCAUUGUCAUCACCAAGCCUCACAAAGCCAUAACCUUUGGAACACUCAGUAUUUGCAUCAAUAACUUUUUGCCCUUUUACAGACUGAUAUCUACUGGCAAAUGUGUCUUGCAACAAUGUACCAACACGUCUCGAGCCAAAUCCCCUACAAAUAUAGAGUGGUCUGAACCAACCUCCGAACGCAUUUCACUGGAUGUGGACAACUUUCUCGUCAUUAAGGUUGUUCUCAUCUCAUACCUCUGUUCAAUAACUAUAUCAACUUCGAUUGUCCUCUGUUUUUAUAGUUAACGCAAGAAUUUCAGUACCAUUUAAGCACAAUCAAAUACUAUCAUAAAUAUAAUUCCAGAAUCCAGAUCCACAAUCUGUAUUGCACGCAUGUUUCAUUUCAACUUGUUUUAAAAUACACAAUCUGGUGAAGGCACAAAAUAAGGGCUUCUUCUUAAAUGUCUUUAACCCUUUCUUGUCAAUACCUUGCAUGGAAGUUUUGGGAUUCUUCUUAAAAUGGCUUCUUCUUAAAAAGAAAUCUUGAACUAAGAGACACUAACUUUCCAAAGAAAUCUAUACAUAAUAUUAAGUGAUGCAUAUUUUAAUGUACUAGAACUUAUAAACCGUUAUACUGAAUUACAGUGUUCAUAAAAUCAUGCCUUAUGGUUCUCCGAACUCUGAUAGUAUUCGACAGGUAACCACUACGACUAAUGUAAUGCAGAGUGAAUUGAGGGGAGAAAUUAGACGGGUUUGAAUGAUGGAAUGUACUCUUUUCAGUCUAUGUUCAUUACAAUUCUUUUAUAUUCAUUACUCGUUUCUUUCACAAUCAACAUAUAAACAAUCAUAAAGCAAUGCAGACUUGAAGACACGAGCGCCACCCUCAAUAAAUAAAUAACUACAUAGACAUGAAAUUGAGAUCUGAACUAAUCUCACAUUCUCCUGACUCCUGCUAAAUAUCAAUCACAUUCAGAACACUUUCAUACAAAUAAUUUAUCCAACAAUAUUCAAAUCCACCAAUAUCUUAAUGCAAAAACACACUUUUAAUUAAUCAAAUAUGUAUACCAAUUCAAGCUAGGCAAACAAAUAACAUUACAAAACCCUAAACCUUAAACCCUAAUUGAAUUGGAAAAAAAGAAAGAAAAAAGGAUACAAAACCCUAACCUUGCCAGUUUGACUGAAGCAGCUAUUCAAGUAACUUUCAUCUAUCCAGUAAUGAAGAUCUCCAAUCCAAAUCUUUUUAUUCUGUUCAACUUGCGGGCAUUAGUCCUCCCUCCUUGUUGCUUAUGUUAAUGUUUGAUCUCAAAAGUUUCAUUUUAGAAGCAAGGAAAAUAAUACAGAGAAAUAUAAAGAGUGCCCCUUUAUUUUUUUUCAUGUAUGCAUGCUUGCAGGAUUGUAAAAGAAUAUAUAUAUUUAUGUUUUGUUUGGUUAUCAGUUCUACAGCAUACAAAUUACAUUGCUUAUACAAUUGCUUAUAUAUUUUUUAGUACUGUGGUUGUUACUUAUUAGUGUUAUUUUCUGGCAGUGCCUAAAGGUUAUUUGCUUUGAGAAACCUGACACAGAUCACAUCCUCAUGGCUUGAAUUUGAACUUGAAUGCUUAAAGCAUUGCAGGUAGCAGUUAGAUGUUGAAGCAUUUACUGUAGUUGAAACUGCUCUAGCAAUUUAUUCAUCUUUUCUGGUAAGAACCAGUCAACCAGCAAAACUAAUCUCGUCUUAGAGUAGAGCAUCGUUCUCUAACGGGGGCAAUGCAUAUUUUGCAGUACAGGUAGGAGCCAUGUAGGGAAAAGCAAAAAAAAAAUUAGAAUGCUCAAAACAUGUCAGAAAACAAAGUUUGAAACCAGCUAAGGCGUUAGGCAUUCUGCUCAGGCGCUGAGUAACACAACGAUCACUGGAACAUAAAAUAGUCCUACUUUACUAUAAACAGGUCCAUAUAUUUCUUUAUACAGAGCAACGAUCUGUUUCUCUCAUGCACGAUGUCACUAAGUGCACACCAUGUGACCUAGCGCUAGUCCUUUUAAUUGCUAAGAAAGCAAAUUUGUUAUUGGUGAAAGUGUAGAACAGAAUUUCAAUGAUGAUCUGGUUGAAAAUAGAAUGGGAGUUGGAUCACAAUGCAAAGGAAGAGGACACUACUAGGGCUACUUAGACAAACGUACAAAUCACAGUCAGACAACCUGUUAACCUGUUUUAAUAUUAACCCUUGAAUUUAUAUUGUACUUAAUGCGCUCUCCAUCAACACAUGUUGGCGAUAAAGCAAAUAACAUGCAACAAAAUGCUUCCGAAUCUAUUAUUAGGUUGCUUGAACCACAAGUCCACAACUUUUGAUGAGCAACCUAUAGGUACUUAGGUAGACAGAACAUAUCUAAUGUUAUCUUUGAACUUUGGUUACCAGACAUGCAGAGGAUGUUGGUAGUUGAAAGUCGAUAUCAUGAAAAUUACAUACAAAAGUUAGUAUGUGAGGCCAUAAGCAGGUAUCGAUCACUAAACGCAAACUUUAUUUCUCCAUUGGAUAUCAAAGAAUCAUUUGGUGAUUCAAUUGUUCUUCGUUCUACAAAUUGAUUAGUUUUGACUUUGGAGCAAUGCUAACUGGGUAUAAAUGUGGUCCAUGAUUCCCUACCGUCUAAAAUAAUUGCACUUUUCUUCUAUCUUACUGGCUAUUCCAUUCCAUACAAAAGUUGAUAACAAGAUCCAACAACUGAACGAAGGCCUAUGUACUCUACUGGUCUGCUGUCCGAUUAAUUCGGCUUUAUUUUAUGUAUGUUUGUACUGGUUAAUGAGAACAUGCAUAUUGAAUUUCCAUUUAAUUCCUGGCUCGACUCGAAGUAAUUUGUAUACAGAUUCAGAAAAAACUGUUGCCACACAAACACUAACUUACUCCUAACAUCUACUACUAUAUAUAUGCAUAUAUCACAGAACCUACAUAUCAGAGAAACGAUCAGUUUGAAGGCAAAUACACCGUUUUAGCAAUGGCCAACUGCAUUUCACAAAUAAUACAGUUUGGAGAAGAUGGCCUUGAACCUAUGAACCCAUCCUCACAAUGCCUUAACACUUCCUACCUCUCCCUUGGCAUCAUUGGAAUUGCUGAGUCUGAGAUACCCAUUGAUGUGGAUAAGAUUAUGCUACCUCUAAGGACCGAUCUCUUGCGAGUUAACCCGGCCUUUUCUUCCAUUGUAGUAUGGAAAAAUGGAAAACAAUGGUGGAAACAGGUCCAGGUCCGGUUCGAAGACCAUGUUAUUGUCCCUACUUUCCCUCAAGGUUUGUCACCAGAGUCUUACACCCAGUAUUUUGAAGAAUACUUAUCUAAGAUAUCCUUAGAUAAGCUUUCGGAAACCCGACCCUUAUGGGAGCUACAUAUUAUAAAGUACCCAACCAAAAGUGCAGCUGGUAUUCUAGCGUUCAAGAUGCACCAUGCACUGGGAGAUGGGUUUUCUAUAAUGGGAGCAUUAUUUUCAACGCUUAAAAGGGCAGAUAAUCCUUCUCUCCCUCUUACGUUUCCUUCUACCACUUCAAGAUCAAAGGAAAAGAAGAACAUCUGCAGGAGUGGCUUGAGCUUCGUUUCUGGGUGUUUCAAUACUAUUAACGAUAUUGCAACUAGUAUGAUGCACACAGCUUUGUUUGGAGACGGCCCAAGCGCCAUCCGGUCAGGUGCUCACUCGGUAGAAUGUUUACCAGUGCACACUACAAGGAUCACAUUCUCCCUUGAUGAUAUUAGCCAAGUUAGAACAAAGCUUGGUGUAGUAAGCUCUCUACCCCCAACCUCUUCUUUUAGUUUGUAAGUAUAAUUUUGGGCAAGGAUUUACUAAUUAGUUUUCUGUUUUCAACAGACUGUAAAUGAUGUGGUCAUCGGAAUUAUAUUUUAUGGCACUCAUUUAUACACCAAAUUGAUGGAUCAAACAAGCACUAAAUGUCGCAAAACUGCAUUGGUCUUAUUGAAUACGAGGAUGUUGAUUGGGUAUCAGAGUGUUGACGAAAUGCUAGAAAAAAAUAUGUGGGGCAACCAAUUUUCCUUCAUUCACUUACCACUACCUUCUUAUUCUGAUGGUCAAAAGGUUGAUCUGAAAGAGUUCAUUUUGAAAGCAAAGAAAGUAAUACAGAGAAGCAGAAGCUCAGUGGCCGUUCAUAUCAAUGGUAUGCUUAUAUCUCUGAUGGGAAGCCUGAGAGGGCCAGAGGUUAGUGAUGCUAAUUAAUUAUUGUGCCUGAAAUUUGAUUACUAUAACAAAUUCGAUAUAAAGAUUUAAUUGACUCAAAUAUUGCAGGCAGUAUCUAAGUAUGUGCACUCUGUUCUGAAGAAUACCAGCUUUGCUGUCUCGAAUUUAAUUGGACCAACAGAGAAAAUGGCCUAUGCUGAUCAUCCCAUCAGUAACAUCUAUUUCACUGUUACAGGUUCUCCCCAGGUAGUUUAAUAUGUCAAGUACUCUGCAUAUGUUUGAUUCUUAUAUAUGUGCCACUUAAUCUGGUAAUUAUUUUUAUCAUUGGCAGAGUCUUGCCUUUUUGGUAAUGAGUUAUGUAGGAAACUUGACAAUCGCAAUCUCAGGGGAGAAGGGGUUUAUUGAAUUACCACUGCUUGUUUCUUGCAUGAACGAAGCCUUCAAAGAGAUUCUUAAGGAAGCAUUGACAUAGGGUCAAGUUUUUCAGUUAGCUGUUAGGCUUUUUCAAAAACCAGAGAUGUGUGGAAACCUAGAAAAGUAGUGAUCGGAAAUUUAGGUUUCCAAUCCUGUUUUUCGACUCACAACCCAGUACGACAAGUUUGAUGGGUGUAGACUUAUAGUACUUUCUUUUCCAAUAUAGUAGUAAACCCUAAAAUGUAUGCAUUCUACCUUUUUCUUCUUUUAAAAAAAAAAAAGGCUUAGUUUGAUGGGUGUAGACUUAUAGUACUUUCUUUUCCAAUAUAGUAGUAAACCCUAAAAUGUAUGCAUUCUACCUUUUUCUUCUUAUCAAAAAAACAAAAAGGCUCCAAGCGCAUACAACAUUACUAUAACAAACUCUUCAUGUACAAAUUACUCCAACCUUCCAGCAACCAAACCAACUGAUCCUUAUUUGUGUGUGUGUGAUACGGUGAUCAACUCUGUACAUUAUUGUCCAAGGAUGUAAUGAACCAGUAUUGCACCAUUCAUGGCAAGGGCUACUAUAUCAACUUCAAUUUUUUGAGAUUUCAGAUUUCAUUUAUUCCCGAUAAAACCU
RNAcentral lists this long non-coding RNA (7231 nucleotides) under Aquilegia coerulea. RNAcentral's name for it is "long non-coding RNA (ACOE_LNC000644)". Lineage: Eukaryota; Viridiplantae; Streptophyta; Magnoliopsida; Ranunculales; Ranunculaceae. The record is from RNAcentral.